RNAcentral lists this ribosomal RNA (499 nucleotides) under uncultured bacterium. RNAcentral's name for it is "partial 16S ribosomal RNA". It matches the Rfam family "Bacterial small subunit ribosomal RNA", at positions 28 to 507 of the family's 1533-position model. The record is from RNAcentral.
GACGAACGCUGGCGGCGUGCCUAAUACAUGCAAGUCGAGCGAAGUUUUUCUGGUGCUUGCACUAGAAAAACUUAGCGGCGAACGGGUGAGUAACACGUAAAGAACCUGCCUCAUAGACUGGGACAACUAUUGGAAACGAUAGCUAAUACCGGAUAACAGCAUUAACUGCAUGGUUGAUAUUUAAAAGUUGGUUUUGCUAACACUAUGAGAUGGCUUUGCGGUGCAUUAGCUAGUUGGUGGGGUAAAGGCCUACCAAGGCGACGAUGCAUAGCCGACCUGAGAGGGUGAUCGGCCACACUGGGACUGAGACACGGCCCAGACUCCUACGGGAGGCAGCAGUAGGGAAUCUUCCGCAAUGGGCGAAAGCCUGACGGAGCAACGCCGCGUGAGUGAAGAAGGAUUUCGGUUCGUAAAGCUCUGUUGUUAGGGAAGAAUGAUUGUGUAGUAACUAUACACAGUAGAGACGGUACCUAACCAGAAAGCCACGGCUAACUACGUG